AUGGCCGAGGGCUCCGCGGCCGAUAUUGUCAUCCUGAAGUUUCUCCUCCUAUGCUUCCAACAGAUGUCCGGGCUCACUAUCAACUUUGACAAAAGCGAAGUGAUGGUUCUGGGAUACACCCCGGACGAGGCCCAGGGCAUUGCUGACCGGCUUCAUUGCCGCCUGGGUACUUUCCCCACGACAUAUUUGGGGAUACCCAUUAGUGACUCGCGACUCACCGUGGCGGACCCCCGCCCAACCGUUACCCGGAUGCAACACAGGGUCGAGCCUUGGAAGGGACGGUGGCUCUCGAAGGCGGCGAGGGUAAUCCUCAUCAACUCCUCGCUUGCCAGCCUCCUCUGGUUCCUCAUGAGCUUCUACAGCUUGCAUGAGACGCUCCAUCAGGAGAUCGCCAAGUACCAGUCCAGGUUUUUCUGGGCAGGCGAGGGAGACAAACAGAAGUACCAUAUGGUGAGCUGGCCGGACAUUUGCAAACCCAAGGACCAGGGAGGUCUUGGGAUCCUGUCUUCUCGGCGCAUGAACAUCACUCUCCUGACCCGUUGGCUCUGGCGUAUCGCCAACGAGGAGGGCGGCCUCUGGCUCACCAUCAUCUGA
This 594-nucleotide ribosomal RNA is filed under the name Triticum aestivum (bread wheat). Its description in RNAcentral is "partial small subunit ribosomal RNA". Lineage: Eukaryota; Viridiplantae; Streptophyta; Magnoliopsida; Poales; Poaceae. The record is from RNAcentral.